AGUGAACGCUGGCGGUAGGCCUAACACAUGCAAGUCGAACGGCAGCACAGUAAGAGCUUGCUCUUACGGGUGGCGAGUGGCGGACGGGUGAGGAAUACAUCGGAAUCUACUUUUUCGUGGGGGAUAACGUAGGGAAACUUACGCUAAUACCGCAUACGACCUACGGGUGAAAGCAGGGGAUCUUCGGACCUUGCGCGAUUGAAUGAGCCGAUGUCGGAUUAGCUAGUUGGCGGGGUAAAGGCCCACCAAGGCGACGAUCCGUAGCUGGUCUGAGAGGAUGAACAGCCACACUGGAACUGAGACACGGUACAGAGUCCUACGGGAGGCAGCAGUGGGGAAUAGUGGACAAUGGGCGCAAGACUGAUCCAGCCAUACCGCGUGGGUGAAGAAGGCCUUCGGGUUGUAAAGCCCUUUUGUUGGGAAAGAAAAGCAGCAGGUUAAUACCCCGCUGUUCUGACGGUACCCAAAGAAUAAGCACCGGCUAACUUCGUG
Molecule: ribosomal RNA, 492 nt
Filed under: uncultured bacterium
Lineage: Bacteria
Description: partial 16S ribosomal RNA
Rfam family: Bacterial small subunit ribosomal RNA
Source: RNAcentral